RNAcentral lists this long non-coding RNA (218 nucleotides) under Olea europaea (common olive). Its description in RNAcentral is "long non-coding RNA (OEUR_LNC013868)". Lineage: Eukaryota; Viridiplantae; Streptophyta; Magnoliopsida; Lamiales; Oleaceae. The record is from RNAcentral.
UGACAGUUCAUUACAAUAACGUAGGCGAUCUUAAAAUUGACCGAUCAGUGGUUAUCAUGCAGCAAGAGGAUUGUGAGAUUAAUUGAAUUACAAUGACGUACCCGAUGAAAAUCGAAACCCCUGAAUUCGACGACGGCUGCUGAAUUAGAUGUUGUUCAGAUGAAUCCGUUGACUAAUCUGCUGUUAAGCGAUCUUCUUUCCCCAACUGUGACCUAGAU